Molecule: unclassified non-coding RNA, 313 nt
Filed under: Greuteria argyrea
Lineage: Eukaryota; Viridiplantae; Streptophyta; Magnoliopsida; Fabales; Fabaceae
Description: partial external transcribed spacer
Source: RNAcentral
UGUUUGUCCCUAGUUCCUGUGUUGCCUACCUUUCGAAAGGCACUCGUGUGGCUUGUUGGACUUUAUCCGUUCCAACCUCUUGUUGGGUUUGGAAGGGCUUCUGAGGUGAAAUACGUGGCUGCCCGGUUAGUCCCGCUCGUUGCUGACUAUUUUGGUGCACAUGUACUAAUCGUGUUCCUGGAUGCGGUGCAUGAAGCGAACGUGGGUUAUUUUUCCCAAUGUGUCCCUUAUCGUUUGGUUGCCUUGAAUGAUGCCUGCCUUCAUGCCUGGUUUGACACAUAUUACUGGGUCCAAAGCUUGCAUGAUGUGCAGA